Cricetulus griseus (Chinese hamster) is the source of this 105-nucleotide small nuclear RNA. The record is from Ensembl. Lineage: Eukaryota; Metazoa; Chordata; Mammalia; Rodentia; Cricetidae.
GUGCUCACUUCGACAGCACAUAUACUAAAAUUGGAACGAUACAGAGAAGAUGUAUGACCCCUGUGCAAGGAUGACACACAAUUUCAUGAAGCAUUCCAUAUUUUU